AUGUACAUUAUAACCUACCUAAAAAGCAGGCAGGAUUAUCCACCUCUCAGACCCGAAUUCCAAGGUAAGCCUCUCGCCCUUUUCAGAUUUGGGUAUUUCAGCUCCAGCGUGACGCAUCUCCUUCGCAUAGAGUUGAUCAGGCUGUUGAUUCUGGCCUGUGGAAUGUUGUCCCACUUCCUCUUAAAUAGCUGUGUGCGAAGUUGCUGGAUAUUGGCGGGAACACGCUGUCCUAUGUCGAUCCAGAGCAUCUCAAACAGCUCAAUGGGUGGUAUGCAGGCCAUGGAAGAACUGGGUCAUAUUCAGCUUCCAGGAAUUGUGUACAGAUCCAUCUGGUCUCCAGUGCGUCUCCUCGGGCCGGGGUACAUGGCACCAGCCCUACGCAUGGUGUCCCCGGUUAGCCAGCACAGCCCAGUGCGGGCUAUUCCACCUUGCCGCACUGGCCUGGCUACGGGGAGCAUUCAGCCAGGUAAGGUUGGGCAGGCUCGGUGCUCAAGACCUCCAGUGCACCUUCAUGGUCCGGUCUAUCCGGUGCCACCUCCACGCACCAGCCAUCUGGUGGCAGCCCCCCGCACCAGGCUGUCUCUCCGUCCCCUCCCUACAGGUGCUCCCAUCUGUCCUGAGCUGCCAGAGUCGCCCGUGUGUCCUGAGCUGCCCGAGUCGCCCGUCUGUCCUGAGCUGCCAGAGUCACCCGUCUGUCCUGAGCUGCCAGAGUUGUCCGUCUGUCCGGAGCUGCCAGAGUCGCCCGUCAGUCAAGAGCUGCCAGAGUCGCCCGUCAGUCAGGAGCUGCCAGAGCCGUCCGUCAGCCAGGAGCUGCCAGAGCCGUCCGUCAGCCAGGAGCGGGCAGAGCCGUCUGUCAGCCAGGAGCGGGCAGAGCCGUCCGUCAGCCAGGAGCGGGCAGAGCCGUCCGUCAGCCAGGAGCUGCCAGAGCCGUCUGUCAGCCAGGAGCGGGCAGAGCCGUCCGUCAGCCAGGAGCUGCCGGAAUCGCCCGUCACUCCGGUGCUGCCCGAAGUCGUCCUUCAAUCCGGCCCCGCCGGAGUCUCCCGCCUGUCAGGUGCUGCCGGAAUCUCCUGUCCAUUCGGGACCCAUUGCUAG
RNAcentral lists this long non-coding RNA (1092 nucleotides) under Oncorhynchus mykiss (rainbow trout). RNAcentral's name for it is "lncRNA (ENSOMYG00000073274.1)". The record is from RNAcentral. Lineage: Eukaryota; Metazoa; Chordata; Actinopteri; Salmoniformes; Salmonidae.